CCCUAGUAACGGCGAGUGAAGCGGCAACAGCUCAAAUUUGAAAUCUGGCGUCUUCGGCGUCCGAGUUGUAAUUUGCAGAGGGCGCUUUGGCAUUGGCAGCGGUCCAAGUUCCUUGGAACAGGACGUCACAGAGGGUGAGAAUCCCGUACGUGGUCGCUAGCCUUUACCGUGUAAAGCCCCUUCGACGAGUCGAGUUGUUUGGGAAUGCAGCUCUAAAUGGGAGGUAAAUUUCUUCUAAAGCUAAAUACUGGCCAGAGACCGAUAGCGCACAAGUAGAGUGAUCGAAAGAUGAAAAGCACUUUGGAAAGAGAGUUAAAAAGCACGUGAAAUUGUUGAAAGGGAAGCGCUUGCAGCCAGACUUGCCUGUAGUUGCUCAUCCGGGUUUCUACCCGGUGCACUCUUCUACGGGCAGGCCAGCAUCAGUUUGGGCGGUUGGAUAAAGGUCUCUGUCAUGUACCUCCCUUCGGGGAGAUCUUAUAGGGGAGACGACAUGCAACCAGCCUGGACUGAGGUCCGCGCAUCUGCUAGGAUGCUGGCGUAAUGGCUGUAAGCGGCCCGUCUUGAAACACGGACCAAGGAGUCUAACAUCUAUGCGAGUGUUUGGGUGUCAAGCCCGAGCGCGUAAUGAAAGUGAACGGAGGUGGGAACCUUUCGGGGUGCACCAUCGACCGAUCCUGAUGUCUUCGGAUGGAUUUGAGUAAGAGCAUAGCUGUUGGGACCCGAAAGAUGGUGAACUAUGCUUGAAUAGGGUGAAGCCAGAGGAAACUCUGGUGGAGGCUCGCAGCGGUUCUGACGUGCAAAUCGAUCGUCAAAUUUGGGCAUA
This 823-nucleotide ribosomal RNA is filed under the name Epicoccum sp. Its description in RNAcentral is "partial large subunit ribosomal RNA". It matches the Rfam family "Eukaryotic large subunit ribosomal RNA", at positions 78 to 919 of the family's 3401-position model. The record is from RNAcentral. Lineage: Eukaryota; Fungi; Ascomycota; Dothideomycetes; Pleosporales; Didymellaceae.